GGGUUGGUGGCGUAGUGGUAACGCACUCCCGCGGCAUCAGUCGUUCCGCGGGUGAGUCCUAGGUUCAAGUCCUGGCCAACUUG
Phyllosticta citriasiana is the source of this 83-nucleotide non-coding RNA. Lineage: Eukaryota; Fungi; Ascomycota; Dothideomycetes; Botryosphaeriales; Phyllostictaceae. The record is from the annotation of a GenBank genome assembly.